This 490-nucleotide ribosomal RNA is filed under the name uncultured bacterium. Its description in RNAcentral is "partial 16S ribosomal RNA". It matches the Rfam family "Bacterial small subunit ribosomal RNA", at positions 30 to 507 of the family's 1533-position model. The record is from RNAcentral.
AUUGAACGCUGGCGGCAGGCCUAACACAUGCAAGUCGAAUGGUAACAGGAAACAGCUUGCUGUUUCGCUGACGAGUGGCGGACGGGUGAGUAAUGUCUUGGAAACUGCCUGAUGGAGGGGGAUAACUACUGGAAACGGUAGCUAAUACCGCAUAACGUCGCAAGACCAAAGAGGGGGACCUUCUUGCCUCUUGCCAUCAGAUUUGCCCAGAUGGGAUUAGCUAGUAGGUGGGGUAACGGCUCACCUAGGCGACGAUCCCUAGCUGGUCUGAGAGGAUGACCAGCGACACUGGAAGUGAGACACGGUCCAGACUCCUACGGGAGGCAGCAGUGGGGAAUAUUGCACAAUGGGCGAAAGCCUGAUGCAGCAAUGCCGCGUGUAUGAAGAAGGCCUUCGGGUUGUAAAGUACUUUCAGCGGGGAGGAAGGGAGUAAAGUUAAUACCUUUGCUCAUUGACGUUACCCGAAGAAGAAGCACCGGCUAACUACGUG